AUUGAACGCUGGUGGCAGGCCUAACACAUGCAAGUCGAACGAGUGGCGGACGGGUGAGUAAUGUCUGGGAAACUGCCUGAUGGAGGGUGAUAACUACUGGAAACGGUAGCUAAUACCGCAUACCAUCGGAUGUUCCCAUAUGGGCUUAGCUAGUGGGUGGGGUAAAGGCUCACCUAGGCGACGAUCCCUAGCUGGUCUGAGAGGAUGACCAGCAACACUGGAACUGAGACACGGUCCAGACUCCUACGGGAUGCAGCAGUGGGGAAUAUUGCACAAGGGGCGCAGUCCUGAGGCAGCCAUGCCGCGUGUAUGAAGAAGGCCGUAGGGUUGUAAAGUACUUUCAGCGGGGAGGCGUUAACCGCAGAAGAAGCACCGGCUAACUCCGUGCCAGCAGCCGCGGUAAUUC
RNAcentral lists this ribosomal RNA (406 nucleotides) under uncultured bacterium. RNAcentral's name for it is "partial 16S ribosomal RNA". It matches the Rfam family "Bacterial small subunit ribosomal RNA", at positions 30 to 526 of the family's 1533-position model. The record is from RNAcentral.